GUAGGUCCCAAGGGUUGGGCUGUUCGCCCAUUAAAGCGGCACGCGAGCUGGGUUUAGAACGUCGUGAGACAGUUCGGUCUCUAUCCGCCGCGCGCGUAGAAACUUGAGGAAGGCUGUCCCUAGUACGAGAGGACCGGGAUGGACGUACCUCUGGUGUGCCAGUUGUCCCGCCUGGGGCAUGGCUGGUUGGCUACGUACGGAAGGGAUAACCGCUGAAAGCAUCUAAGCGGGAAGCCUGUUCCAAGAUUAGGUUUCUUUUGAGGUCCCCUAUAGAUGAUGGGGUUGAUAGGCCGGAUCUGGAAGCAUCGUAAGGUGUGGAGGUGACCGGUACUAAUAGACCAAACAUUCAACACACAAAGU
This 360-nucleotide ribosomal RNA is filed under the name Corynebacterium sp. HMSC077G07. RNAcentral describes it as "bacterial LSU rRNA". It matches the Rfam family "Bacterial large subunit ribosomal RNA", at positions 2558 to 2925 of the family's 2925-position model. Lineage: Bacteria; Bacillati; Actinomycetota; Actinomycetes; Mycobacteriales; Corynebacteriaceae. The record is from RNAcentral. RNAcentral also lists the same sequence under 2 other names.